CCUACGGGUGGCUGCAGUGAGGAAUAUUGGUCAAUGGACGAGAGUCUGAACCAGCCAAGUAGCGUGAAGGAUGACUGCCCUAUGGGUUGUAAACUUCUUUUAUAUGGGAAUAAAAUGUUCCACGUGUGGGAUUUUGUAUGUACCAUAUGAAUAAGGAUCGGCUAACUCCGUGCCAGCAGCCGCGGUAAUACGGAGGAUCCGAGCGUUAUCCGGAUUUAUUGGGUUUAAAGGGAGCGUAGGUGGAUUGUUAAGUCAGUUGUGAAAGUUUGCGGCUCAACCGUAAAAUUGCAGUUGAAACUGGCAGUCUUGAGUACAGUAGAGGUGGGCGGAAUUCGUGGUGUAGCGGUGAAAUGCUUAGAUAUUACGAAGAACUCCGAUGGCGAAGGCAGUUCACUGGACUGCAACUGACACUGAGGCUCGAAAGUGUGGGUAUCAAACAGGAUUAGAUACCCUAGUAGUC
This 460-nucleotide ribosomal RNA is filed under the name uncultured bacterium. RNAcentral's name for it is "partial 16S ribosomal RNA". It matches the Rfam family "Bacterial small subunit ribosomal RNA", at positions 338 to 795 of the family's 1533-position model. The record is from RNAcentral.